RNAcentral lists this ribosomal RNA (490 nucleotides) under uncultured bacterium. RNAcentral's name for it is "partial 16S ribosomal RNA". It matches the Rfam family "Bacterial small subunit ribosomal RNA", at positions 30 to 507 of the family's 1533-position model. The record is from RNAcentral.
AUUGAACGCUGGCGGCACGCCUAACACAUGCAAGUCGAACGGUAACAGGAAGCAGCUUGCUGCUUUGCUGACGAGUGGCGGACGGGUGAGUAAUGUCUGGGAAACUGCCCGAUGGAGGGGGAUAACUACUGGAAACGGUAGCUAAUACCGCAUAACGUCGCAAGACCAAAGAGGGGGACCUUAGGGCCUCUUGCCAUCGGAUGUGCCCAGAUGGGAUUAGCUAGUAGGUGGGGUAACGGCUCACCUAGGCGACGAUCCCUAGCUGGUCUGAGAGGAUGACCAGCCACACUGGAACUGAGACACGGUCCAGACUCCUACGGGAGGCAGCAGUGGGGAAUAUUGCACAAUGGGCGCAAGCCUGAUGCAGCCAUGCCGCGUGUAUGAAGAAGGCCUUCGGGUUGUAAAGUACUUUCAGCGGGGAGGAAGGGAGUAAAGUUAAUACCUUUGCUCAUUGACGUUACCCGCAGAAGAAGCACCGGCUAACUCCGUG